RNAcentral lists this long non-coding RNA (402 nucleotides) under Zea mays. RNAcentral's name for it is "long non-coding RNA (ZMAY_LNC005068)". The record is from RNAcentral. Lineage: Eukaryota; Viridiplantae; Streptophyta; Magnoliopsida; Poales; Poaceae.
CCUUUCAUGCUGUAUGCAGAAUGAAGAAGAAAUACCUAUUUCCAUUGCCUAGUGAAUUCCCAUUAGUAUUUCUUCUUUCACUGGAUUAUGUUGUAUGCAGAAUGAAGAAGAAAUACCUAUUUUCAUUGCCUAGUGAAUUCCCAUUAGUAUUUCUUCUUUCACUGGAUUAUGUUGUAUGCAGAAUGAAGAAGAAAUACCUAUUUUCAUUGCCUAGUGAAUUCCCAUUAGUAUUUCUUCUUUCACUGGAUUAUGUUGUAUGCAGAAUGAAGAAGAAAUACCUAUUUUCAUUGCCUAGUGAAUUCCCAUUAGUAUUUCUUCUUUCACUGGAUUAUGUUGUAUGAGAAAAAUAAUUGUUGCUCGCUCAUAUUUCACGUCUAAGACAUAAGAUAGGCUUGACGUGAG